UACGUAGGGCGCAAGCGUUGUCCGGAAUUAUUGGGCGUAAAGAGCUCGUAGGCGGUUUGUCGCGUCUGCUGUGAAAACCUAAGGCUCAACCUUGGGCUUGCAGUGGGUACGGGCAGACUAGAGUGCGGUAGGGGUGACUGGAAUUCCUGGUGUAGCGGUGGAAUGCGCAGAUAUCAGGAGGAACACCGAUGGCGAAGGCAGGUCACUGGGCCGCAACUGACACUGAGAAACGAAAGCCAGGGGAGCAAACGGG
RNAcentral lists this ribosomal RNA (253 nucleotides) under uncultured bacterium. RNAcentral describes it as "partial 16S ribosomal RNA". It matches the Rfam family "Bacterial small subunit ribosomal RNA", at positions 524 to 776 of the family's 1533-position model. The record is from RNAcentral.